This 106-nucleotide ribosomal RNA is filed under the name Mustela putorius furo (domestic ferret). The record is from RNAcentral. Lineage: Eukaryota; Metazoa; Chordata; Mammalia; Carnivora; Mustelidae.
GUCUACGGCCAUACCACCCUGAAGGCGCCCGAUCUCGUCUGAUCUCGGAAGCUAAGCAGGGUCGGGCCUGGUUAGUACUUGGAUGGAAGAAAUUGUCUUCCAGAUA